Molecule: ribosomal RNA, 331 nt
Filed under: uncultured Pseudomonadota bacterium
Lineage: Bacteria; Pseudomonadati; Pseudomonadota
Description: bacterial SSU rRNA
Rfam family: Bacterial small subunit ribosomal RNA
Source: RNAcentral
AUUGAACGCUGGCGGUAUGCUUAACACAUGCAAGUCGAACGGUAGCAGGCCUUCGGGCGCUGACGAGUGGCGGACGGGUGAGUAACGCGUAGGAAUCUGCCUGGUAGUGGGGGACAACGUGGGGAAACUCACGCUAAUACCGCAUACGUUCCCUAUUGAAAGAUGGGGAGGAAAGCGGGGGCUCUUCGGACCUCGCGCUAUCAGAUGAGCCUGCGUUAGAUUAGCUAGUUGGUAGGGUAAAGGCCUACCAAGGCGACGAUCUAUAGCUGGUCUGAGAGGACGAUCAGCCACACUGGGACUGAGACACGGCCCAGACUCCUACGGGAGGCAG